ACGCUAGCGAUAGGCUUAACACAUGCAGGUCGAGGGGCAGCAUGGUCUUAGCUUACUAAGACUGAUGGCGACCGGCGCACGGGUGCGUAACGCGUAUGCAACUUGCCUCACAGAGGGGGAUAACCCGUCGAAAGACGGACUAAUACCGCGUACACUUGGGAUAGGGCAUCCUGACCCAAGGAAAUGAAAUUCGCUGUGAGAUAGGCAUGCGUCCCAUUAGCUAGUUGGUGAGGUAACGGCUCACCAAGGCGACGAUGGGUAGGGGAACUGAGAGGUUGAACCCCCACACUGGUACUGAGACACGGACCAGACUCCUACGGGAGGCAGCAGUGAGGAAUAUUGGUCAAUGGGCGAGAGCCUGAACCAGCCAAGUCGCGUGAAGGAUGACUGUCUUAUGGAUUGUAAACUUCUUUUAUACGGGAAUAACAAGAGCCACGUGUGGCUCCCUGCAUGUACCGUAUGAAUAAGCAUCGGCUAACUCCGUGCCAGCAGCCGCGGUAAUACGGAGGAUGCGAGCGUUAUCCGGAUUUAUUGGGUUUAAAGGGUGCGUAGGCGGCCUGUUAAGUCAGCGGUGAAAUCUAGGAGCUUAACUCCUAAAUUGCCAUUGAUACUGGCGGGCUUGAGUGUAGAUGAGGUAGGCGGAAUGCGUGGUGUAGCGGUGGAAUGCAUAGAUAUCACGCAGAACUCCGAUUGCGAAGGCAGCUUACUAAGGUACAACUGACGCUGAAGCACGAAAGCGUGGGUAUCAAACAGGAUUAGAUACCCUGGUAGUCCACGCAGUAAACGAUGUUAACUGGGCGUAUGCGAUAUACAGUAUGCUCCUAAGCGAAAGCGUUAAGUUAUCCACCUGGGGAGUACUCCGGCAACGGUGAAACUCAAAGGAAUUGACGGGGGCCCGCACAAGCGGAGG
Molecule: ribosomal RNA, 910 nt
Filed under: uncultured bacterium
Lineage: Bacteria
Description: bacterial SSU rRNA
Rfam family: Bacterial small subunit ribosomal RNA
Source: RNAcentral